GAGUUUGAUCAUGGCUCAGGACGAACGCUGGCGGCGUGCUUAACACAUGCAAGUCGAGCGGUAAGGCCUUUCGGGGUACACGAGCGGCGAACGGGUGAGUAACACGUGGGUGAUCUGCCCUGCACUUCGGGAUAAGCCUGGGAAACUGGGUCUAAUACCGGAUAUGACCUCAGGUUGCAUGACUUGGGGUGGAAAGAUUUAUCGGUGCAGGAUGGGCCCGCGGCCUAUCAGCUUGUUGGUGGGGUAAUGGCCUACCAAGGCGACGACGGGUAGCCGACCUGAGAGGGUGACCGGCCACACUGGGACUGAGACACGGCCCAGACUCCUACGGGAGGCAGCAGUGGGGAAUAUUGCACAAUGGGCGAAAGCCUGAUGCAGCGACGCCGCGUGAGGGAUGACGGCCUUCGGGUUGUAAACCUCUUUCAGCAGGGACGAAGCGCAAGUGACGGUACCUGCAGAAGAAGCACCGGCUAACUACGUGCCAGCAGCCGCGGUAAUACGUAGGGUGCAAGCGUUGUCCGGAAUUACUGGGCGUAAAGAGUUCGUAGGCGGUUUGUCGCGUCGUUUGUGAAAACCAGCAGCUCAACUGCUGGCUUGCAGGCGAUACGGGCAGACUUGAGUACUGCAGGGGAGACUGGAAUUCCUGGUGUAGCGGUGAAAUGCGCAGAUAUCAGGAGGAACACCGGGGCGAAGGCGGGUCUCUGGCAGAACGACGCGAGAAGAAGCGG
RNAcentral lists this ribosomal RNA (728 nucleotides) under Rhodococcus erythropolis. RNAcentral's name for it is "bacterial SSU rRNA". It matches the Rfam family "Bacterial small subunit ribosomal RNA", at positions 9 to 756 of the family's 1533-position model. Lineage: Bacteria; Bacillati; Actinomycetota; Actinomycetes; Mycobacteriales; Nocardiaceae. The record is from RNAcentral.